AUACGGAGGGUGCAAGCGUUAUUCGGAAUCACUGGGCGUAAAGGACGCGUAGGCGGGUUGGCAAGUCAGAUGUGAAAUCAUACAGCUUAACUGUAGAACUGCAUUUGAAACUGCUAACCUAGAGUAUGGGAGGGGGAGAUGGAAUUAGUGGUGUAGGGGUAAAAUCCGUAGAUAUCACUAGGAAUACCGAAAGCGAAGGCGAUCUCCUGGAACAUAACUGACGCUAAGGCGUGAAAGCGUGGGGAGCAAACAGGAUUAGAUACCCUAGUAGUCC
This 274-nucleotide ribosomal RNA is filed under the name uncultured bacterium. RNAcentral describes it as "partial 16S ribosomal RNA". It matches the Rfam family "Bacterial small subunit ribosomal RNA", at positions 523 to 796 of the family's 1533-position model. The record is from RNAcentral.